AGUGAACGCUGGCGGUAGGCCUAACACAUGCAAGUCGAACGGCAGCACAGUAAUAGCUUGCUCUUACGGGUGGCGAGUGGCGUACGGGUGAGGAAUACAUCGGAAUCUACUUUUUCGUGGGGGAUAACGUAGGGAAACUUACGCUAAUACCGCAUACGACCUACGGGUGAAAGCAGGGGAUCUUCGGACCUUGCGCGAUUGAAUGAGCCGAUGUCGGAUUAGCUAGUUGGCGGGGUAAAGGCCCACCAAGGCGACGAUCCGUAGCUGGUCUGAGAGGAUGAUCAGCCACACUGGAAGUGAGACACGGUCCAGACUCCUACGGGAGGCAGCAGUGGGGAAUAUUGGACAAUGGGCGCAAGCCUGAUCCAGCCAUACCGCGUGGGUGAAGAAGGCCUUCGGGUUGUAAAGCCCUUUUGUUGGGAAAGAAAAGCAGCAGGUUAAUACCCCGCUGUUCUGACGGUACCCAAAGAAUAAGCACCGGCUAACUUCGUG
RNAcentral lists this ribosomal RNA (492 nucleotides) under uncultured bacterium. RNAcentral's name for it is "partial 16S ribosomal RNA". It matches the Rfam family "Bacterial small subunit ribosomal RNA", at positions 29 to 507 of the family's 1533-position model. The record is from RNAcentral.